UACGAAGGGGGCUAGCGUUGCUCGGAAUCACUGGGCGUAAAGCGCACGUAGGCGGAUCGUUAAGUCAGGGGUGAAAUCCUGGAGCUCAACUCCAGAACUGCCUUUGAUACUGAGGAUCUUGAGUUCGGGAGAGGUGAGUGGAACUGCGAGUGUAGAGGUGAAAUUCGUAGAUAUUCGCAAGAACACCAGUGGCGAAGGCGGCUCACUGGCCCGAUACUGACGCUGAGGCACGAAAGCGUGGGGAGCAAACAGG
This 253-nucleotide ribosomal RNA is filed under the name uncultured bacterium. RNAcentral's name for it is "partial 16S ribosomal RNA". It matches the Rfam family "Bacterial small subunit ribosomal RNA", at positions 524 to 776 of the family's 1533-position model. The record is from RNAcentral.